This 395-nucleotide long non-coding RNA is filed under the name Gossypium raimondii (Peruvian cotton). RNAcentral's name for it is "long non-coding RNA (GRAI_LNC001222)". Lineage: Eukaryota; Viridiplantae; Streptophyta; Magnoliopsida; Malvales; Malvaceae. The record is from RNAcentral.
AAAGACUUGGCGCUAAAGGCCAUUACUUUGCCAAUUAUUACAUUGUUACUAGCUUUGGGAAUCCAGGCUGGGUCUUCACAGAAUAUUAGCAGAGCUAGUUUCCCAAAAGGCUUCAUUUUUGGGACGGCCUCUUUCUGCUUUCCAGGUUGUUUUUUUUUCUUUUUUCAUUUUUUUUCCAGUAAACUAUCCAUGAAAGUUUCAGUCUUUCUUACCCUCAAGAGAGGAAGAUGAAUGCUGUUGCCAACUGGUGCAGUGCAGAUUUUGACAACGAAAGGUGAAAAGGGGUAAAUCAAAUAUCCACAUCGGUGACUGGUGCUGAGAACCAUUGUUGGCUGGUGACAAGCAUUGAAUCGGGGUGGGAAAGAAAAGGGAAGGGAAAGAGGUUUCGUUUGCAG